CUCUGGUGGCGAGUGGCGAACGGGUGAGUAAUAUAUCGGAACGUACCCUGGAGUGGGGGAUAACGUAGCGAAAGUUACGCUAAUACCGCAUACGAUCUAAGGAUGAAAGUGGGGGAUCGCAAGACCUCAUGCUCGUGGAGCGGCCGAUAUCUGAUUAGCUAGUUGGUAGGGUAAAAGCCUACCAAGGCAUCGAUCAGUAGCUGGUCUGAGAGGACGACCAGCCACACUGGAACUGAGACACGGUCCAGACUCCUACGGGAGGCAGCAGUGGGGAAUUUUGGACAAUGGGCGAAAGCCUGAUCCAGCAAUGCCGCGUGAGUGAAGAAGGCCUUCGGGUUGUAAAGCUCUUUUGUCAGGGAAGAAACGGUGAGAGCUAAUAUCUCUUGCUAAUGACGGUACCUGAAGAAUAAGCACCGGCUAACUACGUGCCAGCAGCCGCGGUAAUACGUAGGGUGCAAGCGUUAAUCGGAAUUACUGGGCGUAAAGCGUGCGCAGGCGGUUUUGUAAGUCUGAUGUGAAAUCCCCGGGCUCAACCUGGGAAUUGCAUUGGAGACUGCAAGGCUAGAAUCUGGCAGAGGGGGGUAGAAUUCCACGUGUAGCAGUGAAAUGCGUAGAUAUGUGGAGGAACACCGAUGGCGAAGGCAGCCCCCUGGGUCAAGAUUGACGCUCAUGCACGAAAGCGUGGGGAGCAAACAGGAUUAGAUACCCUGGUAGUCCACGCCCUAAACGAUGUCUACUAGUUGUCGGGUCUUAAUUGACUUGGUAACGCAGCUAACGCGUGAAGUAGACCGCCUGGGGAGUACGGUCGCAAGAUUAAAACUCAAAGGAAUUGACGGGGACCCGCACAAGCGGUGG
This 855-nucleotide ribosomal RNA is filed under the name Janthinobacterium sp. CB 286441. RNAcentral's name for it is "bacterial SSU rRNA". It matches the Rfam family "Bacterial small subunit ribosomal RNA", at positions 83 to 935 of the family's 1533-position model. Lineage: Bacteria; Pseudomonadati; Pseudomonadota; Betaproteobacteria; Burkholderiales; Oxalobacteraceae. The record is from RNAcentral.